GUAGCGGCGAGUGAAGCGGCAAAAGCUCAAAUUUGAAAUCUGGCACUUUCAGUGUCCGAGUUGUAAUUUGAAGAAGGUAUCUUUGGGUCUGGCUCUGUCUAUGUUUCUUGGAACAGAACGUCACAGAGGGUGAGAAUCCCGUGCGAUGAGAUGUCCCAGACCUAUGUAAAGUUCCUUCGAAGAGUCGAGUUGUUUGGGAAUGCAGCUCUAAGUGGGUGGUAAAUUCCAUCUAAAGCUAAAUAUUGGCGAGAGACCGAUAGCGAACAAGUACAGUGAUGGAAAGAUGAAAAGAACUUUGAAAAGAGAGUGAAAAAGUACGUGAAAUUGUUGAAAGGGAAGGGCUUGAGAUCAGACUUGGUAUUUUGUAUGUUACUCUCUCGGGGGUGGCCUCUACAGUUUACCGGGCCAGCAUCAGUUUGAGCGGUAGGAUAAGUGCAAAGAAAUGUGGCACUGCUUCGGUAGUGUGUUAUAGUCUUUGUCGAUACUGCCAGCUUAGACUGAGGACUGCGGCUUCGGCCUAGGAUGUUGGCAUAAUGAUCUUAAGUCGCCCGUCUUGAAACACGGACCAAGGAGUCUAACGUCUAUGCGAGUGUUUGGGUGUAAAACCCGUACGCGUAAUGAAAGUGAACGUAGGUAGGACCUCCUUUAGGAGUGCACUAUCGACCGAUCCUGAUGUCUUCGGAUGGAUUUGAGUAAGAGCAUAGCUGUUGGGACCCGAAAGAUGGUGAACUAUGCCUGAAUAGGGUGAAGCCAGAGGAAACUCUGGUGGAGGCUCGUAGCGGUUCUGACGUGCAAAUCGAUCGUCGAAUUUGGGUAUAGGGGCGAAAG
Molecule: ribosomal RNA, 828 nt
Filed under: Lodderomyces parapsilosis
Lineage: Eukaryota; Fungi; Ascomycota; Pichiomycetes; Serinales; Debaryomycetaceae
Description: Candida parapsilosis partial large subunit ribosomal RNA
Rfam family: Eukaryotic large subunit ribosomal RNA
Source: RNAcentral